RNA transcript from Prosopis cineraria, 957 nucleotides. It is a transcript of the gene named myosin-11-like, with no coding region annotated. The record is from RefSeq and is a predicted model, not a curated record. The transcript has 3 exons. NCBI's taxonomy places the organism in Eukaryota, Viridiplantae, Streptophyta, Magnoliopsida, Fabales, Fabaceae.
AACUAGAUUUCAAGGGGAAAAAAAAAGAAAUAAAAAAAAAAAAAAGACUGAAGUGGUUUGCAUAUCCCCUUCCUCGCUGGGAACCUUAUGAAUCCUCGCAGCAAAAACAAACCCCUUCCUUGUUGUGAUCACCAUCCGGAAGAAAAACGAAAGAUUGAAGCAAAAUUUAAAUAAUUUGUGGACCUAUGGAGAGAGAAGAUGAGGAACUAGAUCUGGAUCCAUGAGAGAACCACACUGAACCACUAUUGAAGAACAAGAAAAUCAUGGAAUCAAAGAUAAAAAUCAAAUUUGUUGGCCGUUUUAGGAGCGUGCCGUCAAACAUGGUCCUGGACCAUCUCCAUCAAUCUAGAGUGUGCUGCCGAACAUGGUCCUUCUUCUUUGUCUUCAUCCUUUGGUUGUUUUAGGAGAGAAGGUGAUGGGGUAAAAUGGCCAGAUAUGAAAUUCAAAGAAGUGGAACCCAAUUCUUUGGGUCUGGGUGUGGAACUCAGUUACAUCUAAUUUUCUUGCCCAGGUACUUUAACAGGCUGAUAUGUUUCUCGACAAAAACAAGGAUUAUGUGGUUGCAGAACAUCAGGCUCUACAGACAGCCUCAAGAUGCUCAUUUGUGGCUGGUCUAUUCCCACCUUCUCAAGAGGAGUCAUCAAAAUCAUCCAAGUUCUCAUCAAUUGGAUCGCGUUUCAAGCUAUGUACUUUUCUUCCCUGGAAUGAAGUAUAUGAAUACAUGAACGAUCAUAGAAGUAGGACGUGCUGAGUAAUUGCCUAUGUGGCACUGGGGUAGGGCUUUUCUUGCUGAUUGCAGAAGUUAUUUUGGACAGUACAUAAUCGAGUUACAGCUUCAAUCUUUGAUGGAGACCUUAAGUUCAACAGAUCCUCACUAUAUCAGUGUGAAACCAAACAAUGUCCUGAAGCCUGCUAUUUUUGAAAGUGUCAACAUUAUCCAACAAUUGCGCUGUGGUG